AUGCGGAAUCAGGAGUAGCGAGUCGUUGUCGCCAAGCAACGCUAAAAGUGGCAAAAACAAUAAACGCAAACAAUAACAGAUACGCUUUAGCAGCCUAAGCUGCUUUCGUCAAACCUAAGAAUCCCACGACUUGGGAUUUGGCGUCAAUUUAGUGGGGAACCGCGCCUAGCAAAGCUUUGAGCUUGGAACGGAAACUAUGAAGCUACUGAAGCUCAUAUCCUGUCAGUAGGAGAUGAGUAGAGGGAAUGUCAAAAUACUGACUGCACUCGGAGAAGCUUCUGUGGAAGGGUUUUCGGACGUGGGUUCGAUUCA
Molecule: transfer-messenger RNA, 312 nt
Filed under: Tissierella creatinini
Lineage: Bacteria; Bacillati; Bacillota; Tissierellia; Tissierellales; Tissierellaceae
Also listed under: 1 other name
Description: partial transfer-messenger RNA
Rfam family: transfer-messenger RNA
About the family: Bacterial tmRNA, also known as 10Sa RNA or SsrA, is named for its dual tRNA and mRNA-like properties. Its role is to liberate the mRNA from a stalled ribosome.
Source: RNAcentral